This 77-nucleotide transfer RNA is filed under the name Arthrobacter sp. S39. Its description in RNAcentral is "tRNA-Leu". It matches the Rfam family "tRNA". Rfam says of the family: Transfer RNA (tRNA) molecules are approximately 80 nucleotides in length. Their secondary structure includes four short double-helical elements and three loops (D, anti-codon, and T loops). Lineage: Bacteria; Bacillati; Actinomycetota; Actinomycetes; Micrococcales; Micrococcaceae. The record is from RNAcentral.
GCCCCAGUAGCCCAAUUGGCAGAGGCAGCGGACUUAAAAUCCGCGUGUUGCGAGUUCGAGUCUCGCCUGGGGCACAA